AACGAACGCUGGCGGCAGGCCUAACACAUGCAAGUCGAGCGGACCCUUCGGGGUUAGCGGCGGACGGGUGCGUAACGCGUGGGAAUAUGCCCUUCUCUACGGAAUAGUCCCGGGAAACUGGGGGUAAUACCGGAUAAGCUCUUUGGGGGAAAGAUUUAUCGGGGUAGGAUGGGCCCGCGUUGGAUUAGGUAGUUGGUGGGGUAAAGGCCUACCAAGGCGACGAUCCAUAGCUGGUCUGAGAGGAUGAUCAGCCACACUGGGACUGAGACACGGCCCAGACUCCUACGGGAGGCAGCAGUGGGGAAUCUUAGACAAUGGGGGCAACCCUGAUCCAGCCAUGCCGCGUGAGUGAUGAAGGCCUUAGGGUUGUAAAGCUCUUUUAGCUGGGAAGAUAAUGACGGUACCAGCAGAAGAAGCCCCGGCUAACUCCGUG
This 433-nucleotide ribosomal RNA is filed under the name uncultured bacterium. Its description in RNAcentral is "partial 16S ribosomal RNA". It matches the Rfam family "Bacterial small subunit ribosomal RNA", at positions 29 to 507 of the family's 1533-position model. The record is from RNAcentral.